UAAGACAGAGGGUGCAAACGUUGUUCGGAAUUACUGGGCGUAAAGCGAGUGUAGGCGGUCUCGUAAGUCGGGUGUGAAAGCCCCGGGCUCAACCCGGGAAGUGCACUCGAAACUGCGAGGCUAGAGUACUGGAGAGGUUGGUGGAAUUCUCGGUGUAGAGGUGAAAUUCGUAGAUAUCGAGAGGAACACCGGUGGCGAAGGCGGCCAACUGGACAGAUACUGACGCUGAGACUCGAAAGCGUGGGGAGCAAACAGGAUUAGAUACCCUGGUAGUCCACGCCGUAAACGAUGGGUGCUAGGUGUCGCGGGCUUUGACUCCUGCGGUGCCGUAGCUAACGCAUUAAGCACCCCGCCUGGGAAGUACGGCCGCAAGGCUAAAACUUAAAUGAAUUGACGG
RNAcentral lists this ribosomal RNA (397 nucleotides) under uncultured bacterium. RNAcentral's name for it is "bacterial SSU rRNA". It matches the Rfam family "Bacterial small subunit ribosomal RNA", at positions 521 to 916 of the family's 1533-position model. The record is from RNAcentral.